Cyprinus carpio (common carp) is the source of this 1247-nucleotide long non-coding RNA. RefSeq lists it as uncharacterized. NCBI's taxonomy places the organism in Eukaryota, Metazoa, Chordata, Actinopteri, Cypriniformes, Cyprinidae. The record is from RefSeq and is a predicted model, not a curated record. The transcript has 3 exons.
UAACGUGAAAGAUGAGAAGUAGUAGUAGUAUAGACAAUAGGAUAGAAAAAUACAAUUAAAAAAGAUUUUUAAUGCAUUAAAAAAAAGAAGAAUGAUUUCUAAUACAUUGAAAAAUCAUUUUAAAUCUGUAGAAAAAAUGAGUGAUAAUUAAAUAAAAUCAGAAAUGAGGAAGGAGCAGUCGAGUCUGACCAGAAGGGAAAAAAUGCUGGCUAAGCUAACUGUUUCACACAUGCACCGACAGAAGGUUCGAUAUGCAUUCGAUCGAUGAAUGAAAAGGCACAAUGGCAAAAUCGGACGGGCUUCUUUUCAAAUCCACAUCCCCAGUGUUCCACUCAGUCUGCAGUUCCAUGGCAGGCAGAGAGCAAGGGUUACAUCAAGGCUGCUCUGUGGACCGUGCCAACAAGUCUAGACCAAUGACCUGCUGAAUAGCUCCCUUUGAAGAGCACGCAAGUUCGGUCGGGAUGAAGAGAAAUUGAGGCGGACCCUCUUUUGAGUGUGGAGCAGCCCGUGGCCACUGGGAGCGCAGAAAUCAGGAGCAGAUAUGGAUACAUCUCCACUGAAACUCGACCAGGUUUCUCUCAGCCGAUGGGACUCCAGUGGACCCCGCGGCUGCUCUGAGCGUCUUCCUCCAGUCAGAGCUUUUUGGCGGUUAGCGGUGGCCGCAGGUGCUCCUGUUACCUGCACGAAAAGCUGCAUGAGCACCCCAGCAAUCCUCAAACACUCUCUCUCUCUCUCUCUCUCUCUCUCUCUCUCUUACACACACACACACACACAACCCAGACAUAUUUUUGUUCUUCAGCAUACAGUGAGCUCUGGCAGAGAUAUGAAAUAUAUAAACCUGUCUGUAUCCUAAAAUGCACUCUCUCUCACACAUAAAAACACAAACAAACAAACAAAAACAAUCCGUUGUGAAUGAGUGUCCAAAAUAAUACAGAUUCAAUUAAUAUAAUUUCAUAUAAUGCUGUAAUAUAAUUUACAGAUAUACUUAAUGGUUUUAAUUGCAUUAAUUUUCUUCUUUUUAGGUGCAGAUGUUAUUUUCAGCUUGAAGGGAACUUGCAGAUUAACUUGAUAUUAUUAUACGCAUUCUUACUGUUUACUAGGAUAUGCCAUAAAAUAAUACCACAUUAUUCAAAACAUAUAUAUUUAUAUUUGCCUUAUUUUACCUUUUAAAAAAAUCAAAACAAGAUAAAUGUACUUAUAAGCAGACAUUUCAGCAAAGUUAUCUUUAAGUUGUUGUCAAUUUUCAA